CGGCGGACGGGUGAGUAAUGCUUAGGAAUCUGCCUAUUAGUGGGGGACAACAUUCCGAAAGGAAUGCUAAUACCGCAUACGUCCUACGGGGGAAAGCAGGGGAUCUUCGGACCUUGCGCUAAUAGAUGAGCCUAAGUCGGAUUAGCUAGUUGGUGGGGUAAAGGCCUACCAAGGCGACAAUCUGUAGCGGGUCUGAGAGGAUGAUCCGCCACACUGGGACUGAGACACGGCCCAGACUCCUACGGGAGGCAGCAGUGGGGAAUAUUGGACAAUGGGCGCAAGCCUGAUCCAGCCAUGCCGCGUGUGUGAAGAAGGCCUUUUGGUUGUAAAGCACUUUAAGCGAGGAGGAGGCUCCUUUAGUUAAUACCUAAAGUGAGUGGACGUUACUCGCAGAAUAAGCACCGGCUAACUCUGUGCCAGCAGCCGCGGUAAUACAGAGGGUGCGAGCGUUAAUCGGAUUUACUGGGCGUAAAGCGUGCGUAGGCGGCUUUUUAAGUCGGAUGUGAAAUCCCUGAGCUUAACUUAGGAAUUGCAUUCGAUACUGGAAAGCUAGAGUAUGGGAGAGGAUGGUAGAAUUCCAGGUGUAGCGGUGAAAUGCGUAGAGAUCUGGAGGAAUACCGAUGGCGAAGGCAGCCAUCUGGCCUAAUACUGACGCUGAGGUACGAAAGCAUGGGGAGCAAACAGGAUUAGAUACCCUGGUAGUCCAUGCCGUAAACGAUGUCUACUAGCCGUUGGGGCCUUUGAGGCUUUAGUGGCGCAGCUAACGCGAUAAGUAGACCGCCUGGGGAGUACGGUCGCAAGACUAAAACUCACAUGAAUUGACGGGGGCCCGCACAAGCGGUGGAGCAUGUGGUUUAUUCUAUGCAACGCGAAGAACCUUACCUGGGCUUGACAUACUAAGAACUUUUAGAGAUGGAUUGGUGCCUUCUGGAACUUAGAUACAGGUGCUGCAUGGCUGUCGUCAGCUCGUG
Molecule: ribosomal RNA, 971 nt
Filed under: Acinetobacter sp.
Lineage: Bacteria; Pseudomonadati; Pseudomonadota; Gammaproteobacteria; Moraxellales; Moraxellaceae
Description: bacterial SSU rRNA
Rfam family: Bacterial small subunit ribosomal RNA
Source: RNAcentral